AAAGUUAUAGGUUAAGAAUAGACUAGUAUCCUUCAAAGAUAACAGUGGGAAGGGAAACCCUAACUUUG
Molecule: transfer RNA, 68 nt
Filed under: Laemobothrion atrum
Lineage: Eukaryota; Metazoa; Arthropoda; Insecta; Psocodea; Laemobothriidae
Description: tRNA-Trp
Source: RNAcentral